RNAcentral lists this small RNA (117 nucleotides) under Marmota monax (woodchuck). The record is from RNAcentral. Lineage: Eukaryota; Metazoa; Chordata; Mammalia; Rodentia; Sciuridae.
GCUGGGCACGGUUGGGCACGCCUGUAAUCCAAGCAGCUCGGAGGCUGAGGCAAGAGGAUUGUGAGUCAGCCUCAGCAAAAUCGAGGCUCUGAGCAACUCAGUGAAACCCUGUCUCUA